GGUUAAGCUAGAAAGAGCACACGGAGGAUGCCUAGGCACUAGGAGCCGAAGAAGGACGUGGCGAACGACGAAAUGCCUCGGGGAGCCGUAAGCAGGCUUUGAUCCGGGGAUGUCCGAAUGGGGGAACCCAGCUGUGGUAAUGCGCAGUUACUCUAAAGUGAAUACAUAGCUUUAGUAGAGGCAGACCCAGGGAACUGAAACAUCUAAGUACCUGGAGGAAAAGAAAACAAAAGUGAUUCCGUCAGUAGCGGCGAGCGAAAGCGGAAUAGCCCAAACCAAGGAGCUUGCUCCUUGGGGUUGUAGGACCUCGAUAUGGGGUUAGUUUGGUAGGCGAAGUGAUCUGGAAAGGUCCGGCAUAGAAGGUAAAAGCCCUGUAGCCCAAACCGAACGAAUCCCCUAGAGGUAUCCUGAGUACGGCGGGUCACGUGAAACCCCGUCGGAAUCCGGCAGGACCAUCUGCCAAGGCUAAAUACUCCCUAG
This 480-nucleotide ribosomal RNA is filed under the name Paenibacillus qinlingensis. RNAcentral's name for it is "partial 23S ribosomal RNA". It matches the Rfam family "Bacterial large subunit ribosomal RNA", at positions 1 to 480 of the family's 2925-position model. The record is from RNAcentral. Lineage: Bacteria; Bacillati; Bacillota; Bacilli; Caryophanales; Paenibacillaceae.